GACGAACCGUGCAAACGUUAUUCGGAAUCACUGGGCAUAAAGGGCGCGUAGGCGGCUCUCUAAGUCAGGGGUGAAAUCCGGCAGCUCAACUGUCGCAGUGCCCUUGAUACUGGAGAGCUCGAGGGAUGUAGGGGUCUGUGGAACUUCCGGUGGAGCGGUGAAAUGCGUUGAUAUCGGAAGGAACGCCGGUGGCGAAAGCGACGGACUGGACAUCUUCUGACGCUGAGGCGCGAAAGCCAGGGGAGCAAACGGG
This 253-nucleotide ribosomal RNA is filed under the name uncultured bacterium. Its description in RNAcentral is "partial 16S ribosomal RNA". It matches the Rfam family "Bacterial small subunit ribosomal RNA", at positions 524 to 776 of the family's 1533-position model. The record is from RNAcentral.